UAUGGUUAUGAAGAGCUGAGGAUACACCUGUACCCAUGCCGAACACAGAAGUUAAGCUCAGUAUCGCUGAUGGUAGUCAAACCGCAGGGUUUCGCGAGAGUAAGCAAUAGCCAAUU
This is a non-coding RNA of Peptostreptococcaceae bacterium, 116 nucleotides long. NCBI's taxonomy places the organism in Bacteria, Bacillati, Bacillota, Clostridia, Peptostreptococcales, Peptostreptococcaceae. The record is from Rfam.